UCUUUCUAGCACUGGGGUUCACCCUCA
This 27-nucleotide non-coding RNA is filed under the name Mus musculus (house mouse). Lineage: Eukaryota; Metazoa; Chordata; Mammalia; Rodentia; Muridae. The record is from RNAcentral.